This 429-nucleotide ribosomal RNA is filed under the name uncultured bacterium. RNAcentral's name for it is "bacterial SSU rRNA". It matches the Rfam family "Bacterial small subunit ribosomal RNA", at positions 355 to 776 of the family's 1533-position model. The record is from RNAcentral. RNAcentral also lists the same sequence under 1 other name.
UUAGGAAUAUUCGUCAAUGGAGGAAACUCUGAACGAGCAAUGCCGCGUGAGUGAUGACGGUCUUUAUGAUUGUAAAACUCUGUUGUAAAGGAAGAACACUUAUCAUAGGAAAUGAUGAUAAGAUGACGGUACUUUACCAGAAAGCCCCGGCUAACUACGUGCCAGCAGCCGCGGUAAUACGUAGGGGGCGAGCGUUAUCCGGAUUUAUUGGGUGUAAAGGGUGUGUAGGCGGUUUAUUAAGUUUAAGAUAAAAUCCCGAGGCUUAACUUCGGUUCGUCUUAAAAACUGAUAGACUUGAGUGCAGUAGAGGCAAGUGGAAUUUCUAGUGUAGCGGUUAAAUGCGUAGAUAUUAGAAGGAACACCAGUGGCGAAGGCGACUUGCUGGGCUGUUACUGACGCUGAGACACGAAAGCGUGGGGAGCAAAUAGG